UUGUGGUUAAAAAGCUCGUAGUUGGAUCUCAACAGCCUUGNAAGCGGUUAACUUUGUAGUUUUACUGCUUUAUAGGCUGUGCUUUUGCUGGAGGUUUAGGGAUGCUCUUGAUCGAGUGUCUCUGGAUGCCAGCAGGUUUACUUUGUAAAAAUUAGAGUGCUCAAAGCAGGCUAAAAUGCCUGAAUAUUCGUGCGUGGAAUAAUAGAAUAGGAUGUCGAUCCUAUUUUGUUGGUUUUCGGGA
This 241-nucleotide ribosomal RNA is filed under the name uncultured eukaryote. Its description in RNAcentral is "partial 18S ribosomal RNA". It matches the Rfam family "Eukaryotic small subunit ribosomal RNA", at positions 613 to 856 of the family's 1831-position model. The record is from RNAcentral.